This 712-nucleotide long non-coding RNA is filed under the name Serinus canaria (Common canary). Its description in RNAcentral is "lncRNA (ENSSCAG00000014896.1)". The record is from RNAcentral. Lineage: Eukaryota; Metazoa; Chordata; Aves; Passeriformes; Fringillidae.
GCAGGAUCUGCUGGCAGGGAUGAGGGGACACUGGGAAUGUUCCCCCUGCAUGGAGCCAAACUGGAGCGCGAAUCCGGCUUGGCAAAAUUGGGAUGGGCAGGAAUUUUGUCAGGACUUGUCAAGGCAGAGCUGGGAUCUCAUCCCAAUCUCCUCGUGCCAAAAUCCACUCCAAACAACCUGGUGGGAAAAAGUGGGAUCCUGCCUGGUUUGUAUCCACAUUCCCUGCGGAUGACAGAAGAGCUGGAUCACACACCUGGGAGGUUUCCUGGGCUAAUCUGAAAUAUUCCGGGAGAAAAGCUCGGGAGAGGGAUGAAAAGGUCAAAGUUCAAGCCCUGCCUCACCUGAGCAGCUUCCUGCCGAAUCCAGGGCUGUGCCAGAGUCAGGGAUUGAAGGAUUUGCCUCCGGUUACUCACAAAAGGAGCCCCCCAGGAGUGGCUCCAGCAGUGAUGGGAACGCAGAGGAUCCCUCAAGGUUGAUAUUCCCAGCCAGGAGUGUUUGAGCAAAUGGGAGGUUGAACUUUCGACUCCGUGGAAAACAGUUGGAGAGAAACCUUGAGGAAUCCCGGGAGAGCCAUUGAGCCUUUCUUCCCGUUAUCCCGCUUGAUUCCUUGCUGCUCCUCGGUUCUUUCAAUCUAGCCUGGAGCUGUUUCCUGCUGGUGGCAUGAAGGGAAAAACGGGAAGGCACAAGAGGAGGAGGGGGAGGAAAAUUGGGG